Molecule: ribosomal RNA, 434 nt
Filed under: uncultured bacterium
Lineage: Bacteria
Description: partial 16S ribosomal RNA
Rfam family: Bacterial small subunit ribosomal RNA
Source: RNAcentral
AGCGAACGCUGGCGGCAUGCCUAACACAUGCAAGUCGAACGAACCUUUCGGGGUUAGUGGCGGACGGGUGAGUAACACGUGGGAACGUGCCCUUAGGUUCGGAAUAACUCAGGGAAACUUGUGCUAAUACCGAAUGUGCCCUUCGGGGGAAAGAUUUAUCGCCUUUAGAGCGGCCCGCGUCUGAUUAGCUAGUUGGUUGAGGUAAUGGCUCACCAAGGCGACGAUCAGUAGCUGGUCUGAGAGGAUGAUCAGCCACAUUGGGACUGAGACACGGCCGAAACUCCUACGGGAGGCAGCAGUGGGGAAUCUUGCGCAAUGGGCGAAAGCCUGACGCAGCCAUGCCGCGUGAAUGAUGAAGGUCUUAGGAUUGUAAAAUUCUUUCACCGGGGACGAUAAUGACGGUACCCGGAGAAGAAGCCCCGGCUAACUUCGUG